CCUACGGGAGGCAGCAGUGAGGAAUAUUGGUCAAUGGCCGGAAGGCUGAACCAGCCAAGCCGCGUGAAGGACGAAGGUGCCAAGCAUUGUAAACUUCUUUUGUCAAGGGACAAAAUCAGGCUCGAGAGCCUGACCGCAUGUACUUGAAGAAUAAGCAUCGGCUAACUCCGUGCCAGCAGCCGCGGUAAUACGGAGGAUGCGAGCGUUAUCCGGAUUUAUGGGGUUUAAAGGGUGCGUAGGCGGAUUGUUAAGUCAGCGGUAAAAGCCCGGGGCUCAACCCCGGAGAGCCGUUGAAACUGGGUGUCUUGAGAUGGCGAGAGGUAUGCGGAAUGCGCAGUGUAGCGGUGAAAUGCUUAGAUAUUGCGCAGAACUCCGAUUGCGAAGGCAGCAUACCGGCGGAGAUCUGACGCUGAGGCACGAAAGCGUGGGGAUCGAACAGGAUUAGAUACCCGGGUAGUC
Molecule: ribosomal RNA, 459 nt
Filed under: uncultured bacterium
Lineage: Bacteria
Description: partial 16S ribosomal RNA
Rfam family: Bacterial small subunit ribosomal RNA
Source: RNAcentral